This 719-nucleotide ribosomal RNA is filed under the name uncultured bacterium. Its description in RNAcentral is "bacterial SSU rRNA". It matches the Rfam family "Bacterial small subunit ribosomal RNA", at positions 777 to 1500 of the family's 1533-position model. The record is from RNAcentral.
AUUAGAUACCCUGGGUAGUCCACGCUGUAAACGAUCAAUACUAGGUGUGCGGGGACUGACCCCCUGCGUGCCGCAGUUAACACAAUAAGUAUUGCACCUGGGGAGUACGAUCGCAAGGUUGAAACUCAAAGGAAUUGACGGGGGCCCGCACAAGCGGUGGAUUAUGUGGUUUAAUUCGAAGCAACGCGAAGAACCUUACCAGGGCUUGACAUCCUGCUAACGAGACAGAGAUGUGUCAGGUGCCCUUCGGGGAAAGCAGAGACAGGUGGUGCAUGGUUGUCGUCAGCUCGUGCCGUGAGGUGUCGGCUUAAGUGCCAUAACGAGCGCAACCCCCAUCGCCAGUUGCCAACAGGUAAAGCUGGGAACUCUGGCGAGACUGCCGGCGCAAGCUGCGAGGAAGGCGGGGAUGACGUCAAAUCAGCACGGCCCUUACGUCCGGGGCGACACACGUGUUACAAUGGCAGGUACAGCGGGAAGCCACCGGGCGACCGGGAGCAGAACCCGAAAACCUGUCUCAGUUCGGAUUGGAGUCUGCAACUCGACUCCAUGAAGCUGGAUUCGCUAGUAAUCGCGCAUCAGCCACGGCGCGGUGAAUACGUUCCCGGGCCUUGUACACACCGCCCGUCAAGCCAUGGGAGUCGGGAGUGCCUGAAGUACGUGACCGCAAGGAGCGUCCUAAGGCAAAACUGAUGACUGGGGCUAAGUCGUAACAAGGUACC